Molecule: long non-coding RNA, 1819 nt
Organism: Dama dama (fallow deer)
Lineage: Eukaryota; Metazoa; Chordata; Mammalia; Artiodactyla; Cervidae
Exons: 3
Source: RefSeq, a predicted model, not a curated record
UCAGAUCUGUCCCCAUGAAACACCAGCUUCCCAUCCUCCCUGCCCCAGGCCCUGGUAGACUCCAUUUUACUUUCUGUGUCUAUGAAUUUGACUACUCUGAAAUAGGUAUUUCACAUUUCAGUGAGCAUAAUGCCCUCAGGGUUCAUGUGAGAUGCUGUAACGCAUCAGAAUUUCCUUCCUUUUUAAUAAUUAAUCUGGUUAUUUCCUCUUUGGCGGCACUGGGUCUUCAUUGCUGCACGCGGGCUUCCUCUAGCUGUGGUGAGUGGGGGCUCCUCUCUCGUUGCGGCGUGGGGGCUUCUCACUGUGGUGGCUUCUUUUGUUGCGGAGCACGGGCCCUAGGAAGCACAGGUUUCAGGAGUUGUGCACACGGGCUUAGGUGCUCUGUGGCGUGUGGAAUGUUCCCGGACCAGGGAUCGAACCCGUGUCGCCUGCCCUGGCAGAUGGAUCCUUAACCACUGGACCACCAGGGCAGUCUUCCUUUCUUUUUCUUUUCUCCUUCCUUUUAAAGGCUGGAUCAUACACCUUCGUAUGGAUGGGCCACGUUUUGUGUAUCCAGGUGGGGAAGCGGAGUCGCCCGUCCACGGUUACGCAAAGCGGAGCGGUGGCACCAUCGUCCGAACCCAGGCGGCGGGCUCUUCCCCACCGCAGGAAGCCGGAUGCCUGAGAACGCAGGGGCGGAGGGUUUGGCCUUGGCCUGAGGCAUGCGGGAUCCUGGUUCCCCGACCAGGGAACGAACCUGUGCCCCUCUGCCGAGGAAGCACCGAGUCUUAACCCACUGGACCGCCAGGGAAGUCCCCAGAAGGCUCUUUUGGACACUUUUUGAACAAGCCUUGUCAGCUCUAAGCCCUCUGCCUUGUGCGAGGGCAUUCUGACCCUAGCGGGUGCGGUCGCCACCCACCCGCUCCGGCCCCUCUCCGCGCGUCCGGCACCAGAAGCAACCGUUCCUCCGCCGGGCUUAGGGGUUCGCGGUGCGCCCUGGCCGGCAGGCCUUUCCACCGGCUGUUUUCUCCGCCACAGGUGCAGUCGUUCCCCUCCCGCCCCUUUCCCGUGCUCAUUCUUACUCAUCUGGAUCCUGGUUUAAACACUACCUCUUUCAGAAAGCAUUCCGAGACGCCCCACGCUGAGUUAGCCGCCCCACCUCCGGGCUCCCCUCUGCCCUUACUGAUCUCUGCCUUAACGCCCAUCCCUCUGGGUCUUGAUUUGCCAGAGUCGGUGCGCACCGCCUCCCGCCAUCAGACAGGGAGCCCGUUGAGGGCAGGGACUGGGGCUGACUCAGCUCUGUUACCCCACGAACCCCCUGCAGGGCCUGGCUCCUGGGAGGUGCCUGGGCAAAUGUUUGUCUCCUGAAUAAAGGAUGAUCCUUAUCGCUCCUCUGCUCCCAAAUCUCCGUGGCUUCCCGCCCCUGCGACCUGGCCCCUCUUUCAUCUCUCCUCCACUCGCCCACCUCCGUCACUCCUCUGCCUCCCUUGGAGUUUGCACGUGCGGUUUCGCAGCCAGCAAAGAGGUCUUCCCCCGUGUCCACCCUACUUAAAUGUUUGACAUGAUUGAUCAAUUUGACAUGAUCGAUCAAUUUAUCACCAUUUGAAAUACUAGCUAUUCUACUUAUUUUCCUCCUUUUUGGGCCUCUCCCGUGAGAGCGGGCUUUUGUUUUGUUCAUUGCUGUCACAAAUUAGGUGCUCCAUAAAUAUUUGCAGAAUGACUGGAUGGAUGGACAGACACAUGUCUGUCUUCGGGUCUUGGAAUCUUCGGGUCAUGGAAUUUUUCCAGUGUUCAUAUGGGACCUUCAGGUUUUUGCCAGACUGUGUCUCUCGCCCUUGGA